RNAcentral lists this ribosomal RNA (1118 nucleotides) under Staphylococcus aureus M0542. RNAcentral describes it as "bacterial SSU rRNA". It matches the Rfam family "Bacterial small subunit ribosomal RNA", at positions 8 to 1105 of the family's 1533-position model. The record is from RNAcentral. Lineage: Bacteria; Bacillati; Bacillota; Bacilli; Caryophanales; Staphylococcaceae.
AGAGUUUGAUCCUGGCUCAGGAUGAACGCUGGCGGCGUGCCUAAUACAUGCAAGUCGAGCGAACGGACGAGAAGCUUGCUUCUCUGAUGUUAGCGGCGGACGGGUGAGUAACACGUGGAUAACCUACCUAUAAGACUGGGAUAACUUCGGGAAACCGGAGCUAAUACCGGAUAAUAUUUUGAACCGCAUGGUUCAAAAGUGAAAGACGGUCUUGCUGUCACUUAUAGAUGGAUCCGCGCUGCAUUAGCUAGUUGGUAAGGUAACGGCUUACCAAGGCAACGAUGCAUAGCCGACCUGAGAGGGUGAUCGGCCACACUGGAACUGAGACACGGUCCAGACUCCUACGGGAGGCAGCAGUAGGGAAUCUUCCGCAAUGGGCGAAAGCCUGACGGAGCAACGCCGCGUGAGUGAUGAAGGUCUUCGGAUCGUAAAACUCUGUUAUUAGGGAAGAACAUAUGUGUAAGUAACUGUGCACAUCUUGACGGUACCUAAUCAGAAAGCCACGGCUAACUACGUGCCAGCAGCCGCGGUAAUACGUAGGUGGCAAGCGUUAUCCGGAAUUAUUGGGCGUAAAGCGCGCGUAGGCGGUUUUUUAAGUCUGAUGUGAAAGCCCACGGCUCAACCGUGGAGGGUCAUUGGAAACUGGAAAACUUGAGUGCAGAAGAGGAAAGUGGAAUUCCAUGUGUAGCGGUGAAAUGCGCAGAGAUAUGGAGGAACACCAGUGGCGAAGGCGACUUUCUGGUCUGUAACUGACGCUGAUGUGCGAAAGCGUGGGGAUCAAACAGGAUUAGAUACCCUGGUAGUCCACGCCGUAAACGAUGAGUGCUAAGUGUUAGGGGGUUUCCGCCCCUUAGUGCUGCAGCUAACGCAUUAAGCACUCCGCCUGGGGAGUACGACCGCAAGGUUGAAACUCAAAGGAAUUGACGGGGACCCGCACAAGCGGUGGAGCAUGUGGUUUAAUUCGAAGCAACGCGAAGAACCUUACCAAAUCUUGACAUCCUUUGACAACUCUAGAGAUAGAGUCUUCCCCUUCGGGGGACAAAGUGACAGGUGGUGCAUGGUUGUCGUCAGCUCGUGUCGUGAGAUGUUGGGUUAAGUCCCGCAACGAGCGCAACCCU